UCCCAGGUGGCUCAGUGGUAAAGAACCUGCCUGCCAACGCAGGAGACGCAGGUUCGAUCCCUGGGUUGGGAA
Molecule: transfer RNA, 72 nt
Filed under: Ovis aries (sheep)
Lineage: Eukaryota; Metazoa; Chordata; Mammalia; Artiodactyla; Bovidae
Rfam family: tRNA
About the family: Transfer RNA (tRNA) molecules are approximately 80 nucleotides in length. Their secondary structure includes four short double-helical elements and three loops (D, anti-codon, and T loops). Further hydrogen bonds mediate the characteristic L-shaped molecular structure. tRNAs have two regions of fundamental functional importance: the anti-codon, which is responsible for specific mRNA codon recognition, and the 3' end, to which the tRNAs corresponding amino acid is attached (by aminoacyl-tRNA synthetases). tRNAs cope with the degeneracy of the genetic code in two manners: having more than one tRNA (with a specific anti-codon) for a particular amino acid; and 'wobble' base-pairing, i.e. permitting non-standard base-pairing at the 3rd anti-codon position.
Source: Rfam by way of RNAcentral